UAGGGAAUCUUCGGCAAUGGACGAAAGUCUGACCGAGCAACGCCGCGUGAGUGAAGAAGGUUUUCGGAUCGUAAAACUCUGUUGUUAGAGAAGAACAAGGACGUUAGUAACUGAACGUCCCCUGACGGUAUCUAACCAGAAAGCCACGGCUAACUACGUGCCAGCAGCCGCGGUAAUACGUAGGUGGCAAGCGUUGUCCGGAUUUAUUGGGCGUAAAGCGAGCGCAGGCGGUUUCUUAAGUCUGAUGUGAAAGCCCCCGGCUCAACCGGGGAGGGUCAUUGGAAACUGGGAGACUUGAGUGCAGAAGAGGAGAGUCGAAUUCCAUGUGUAGCGGUGAAAUGCGUAGAUAUAUGGAGGAACACCAGUGGCGAAGGCGGCUCUCUGGUCUGUAACUGACGCUGAGGCUCGAAAGCGUGGGGAGCAAACAGG
RNAcentral lists this ribosomal RNA (429 nucleotides) under Gemmatimonadota bacterium. Its description in RNAcentral is "Gemmatimonadetes bacterium partial 16S ribosomal RNA". It matches the Rfam family "Bacterial small subunit ribosomal RNA", at positions 355 to 776 of the family's 1533-position model. Lineage: Bacteria; Pseudomonadati; Gemmatimonadota. The record is from RNAcentral.